RNAcentral lists this ribosomal RNA (263 nucleotides) under uncultured Lachnospiraceae bacterium. Its description in RNAcentral is "partial 16S ribosomal RNA". It matches the Rfam family "Bacterial small subunit ribosomal RNA", at positions 76 to 339 of the family's 1533-position model. Lineage: Bacteria; Bacillati; Bacillota; Clostridia; Lachnospirales; Lachnospiraceae. The record is from RNAcentral.
UGGAUCUUAAAUUGACUGAGCGGCGGACGGGUGAGUAACGCGUGGAUAACCUGCCUCACACAGGGGGAUAACAGUUAGAAAUGACUGCUAAUACCGCAUAAGCGCACGGCAUCGCAUGAUGCAGUGUGAAAAACUCCGGUGGUGUGAGAUGGAUCCGCGUCUGAUUAGGUAGUUGGUGGGGUAACGGCCCACCAAGCCGACGAUCAGUAGCCGACCUGAGAGGGUGAACGGACACACUGGAACUGAGACACGGUCCAGACUCC